CGUCUUGUGCUUGCUCCGAGUUAGUGGAAAAGAGGAGGGAGAGAGCAAGUGAAAGGGGGGAGGAAAAAAAAGACAGGGAAGGAGAGAGCGAGAGGGAGAGAGAUUGAGAGAGAGCGAGAGAGAGAGAGAGAGAGAGAGAGAGCGGGGCUGAGAGAGAGAGACUUGGCAAGGGAAAUCUUAUGGGUAUACUGAAACAGCAGAUCAGAAUUGUGAAACCAGAGCUAGGGCUGAAAUGUGAUGCUUUUGCUCUUUUGUGCUUGUUGUGGUUCUCAUCUUCCUGUUUAGAGGGCUGCAUACCAUUCAACAGCAUAUUUUGAUCACAGAUUGAACAAUGCAGCAAUCAAGCCUGAUAAGCCACCUGGAAGUUUUGCUUGAGACGAUUUCUAGUGGGUUUACUGAUCCCUGUGAGCAUCAUGCCUGCCUUUAGCAUUGUGGAGGAGGACUCGAGUUUCUUAUGAGGGCCCACUUGGAAAAGCCGGCUGUGCAGAUUCAAGCCUCCGGUUCUGUUCAUGCUAUUCAAAAGCCUUUCCUCACCCUUGCUGAUUUAUUUCUAUGAUUUACAUACACUCCUGUGGAGAUUUACAGAAUGGAUUGUCUGUGCAUUGUCACAACCAAGCAGAGCCAUGGCAGAUGCCCAUCUCACAAAUGCUCAGUCGAAACACCUGCCUGGAUACCCAUUCAGCACUCUACCGUAAGUUUGAGCCUUUUAAUACAAAGAUUUGAGAGACUGAAUGGUAAGUCUCUGUGUUUGAAGCAGCCCCGGUCGGGUAAUGUUUCCAUACUCAAUGCAUUUGAGAAAAAAACAGAAAUAAGUCCUAAGGCUAGGCAAAGCUACUUGUGAAGCCUGAACUGUUGAAAUGUUGAGUAGUAGCUUAGCAGGGCU
Molecule: long non-coding RNA, 883 nt
Organism: Manacus vitellinus (golden-collared manakin)
Lineage: Eukaryota; Metazoa; Chordata; Aves; Passeriformes; Pipridae
Source: Ensembl